UUUUGUGCUUGUGUGGACUGCAAUAGAAAGAAAGAACAGGGAAAUAGAGAACACAGAGAAUGAGAUUACAAUUAGAUGUUCUACGAUUGCAACAAGGAAAGAAGAAAGAAGGCGAAUCCGAAUAAGAGAAUGAGUUUACUAGAUACAUCAGAUGGAGAAAAAAACAUCAGACGUAGCCAUGGCUGUGACUUAUGGCAUCAAGGUUGUUGUCCGAGGUAUGGCCAUAAAUCUAUUAACAUAUAAUCGAAUUUUCACCGGAUCUGAGAAGAUAACGAUCAUUUCUAUUCAUCUGUUUUGUUUUUCACAAAGGGUCGAAGCAGAGAACACGAUGAUCUGAAACAUUUUCGUUUUUUUUCAUUAGAGGGCUUGAUAUGGAAAACAUUUAGUUUUUUUCGUGUGUGCUUGUGUUUGGUUCAAGACCAGUGGGGGGACAAAGAACAACAAAGAUCUAGAUUGGUUUUUAGAUUUUAUACAUUUCGAUUUUGUGUUAGUUUCGAUUUUGUGAUAUUCAUCUUUAGGAGAUUUGGUAACAAAGAUCUGAAGACGACACGUACAAUGUUGGUUCUGUGAUGUUCAUCUUCAAUAAAGCUGGAAGAUAUUUUGUUAUGUUCAUCUUAGUCUCCUGAAUUUGAUUAUUGGGUGAGCGAUUUUUUAUUCUUAGUUUCUAGAUUUCGAUCCUUAGAUGGUUGAAAGAUUUCUUUAAUGUUGGUUUUGGAAUGAUGAUAAAUACAAAAUGAUUGGUAUCUGUACUACAUUGAUCGAUUUUAGGAUUCUUCAUUUUGUCUCCAUAUGUUGAUUUUGGGUUUGUUUUUUUAGCGGUUCUUGUGUUUUUUUUUUCUUUUGACCUGGGUUCAUGGGUGGGUGGUUGUUGGAGAUAGAUGAUGGAUAGUGGUUGUCAACGAUAGUGUAUAAUGGUUAAAAAUAAAAAAAAAUAAAUAAAACAUGUGGCUGCCAUGUCAGCACCAACCAAUUCAACUAACAAAAUAUACUAUCAACAAUAUAACAAUGUAACUUGUUUACCCCUUCACAUCUAAAUGAAUGGUGUUUUUGAUAACUCAACAAUAUAACAAUGUAACGUACAACAAAGUAUAAAGGGGCGUCUUGCACACGAACCUUUUUAGGUAGCCCUACGGUGAACCCAAGAUCAAAAAAAUCUCUAUGUUUAUCAUGUAACAAUGAGAUCUCAAAGAAAUAUUUUAUUUAUAUUUACCCUUUGAUAAAGUAUUUAAAAAUUUUAUUUUUGAUCAUGAAACCCUAACUGCUCACUAACCUUAAAGCUUAUGUAUUCAUAUAUGUAUCUCACUAAACAAAGAAUAAAGACCACUGAAAUAUCAUUAUCAUGUUUUGUUUUUAUACCAUCUUCAGCUUAUGUAAAACCUCUGGUUUAGGUUAUAAUGAAAUAAAAGUUUUGAUAUAAGUUUUUCUUUUAUUCACUUGUAUUAAAGGCAAGAAUAAGUUUCCCCCAAAAUUUGGGCAUAACAAUAAC
Molecule: long non-coding RNA, 1486 nt
Filed under: Lactuca sativa (garden lettuce)
Lineage: Eukaryota; Viridiplantae; Streptophyta; Magnoliopsida; Asterales; Asteraceae
Description: long non-coding RNA (LSAT_LNC005848)
Source: RNAcentral